Molecule: long non-coding RNA, 871 nt
Organism: Hyla sarda
Lineage: Eukaryota; Metazoa; Chordata; Amphibia; Anura; Hylidae
Exons: 4
Source: RefSeq, a predicted model, not a curated record
CAGAAGACAAUCUGUUAUCCUUGUCAGCCAUCAAUAUUGGGGUAUCUGAGAAAGUCCCGGCAGACUGGCUCAGCAGGAACCAGCUUCCAUAAGGGGAGGGGGAACUGAACGUCAAGCCUUAUCCUGCAAAGAGCCCUAUUUGAGAAUCUGGCCUGAUGGAGUCGUCUUCAGGACUGUGCUGGGGUUUUUGCCAAAGAUACCCUCCAUGGUGAACCUCAACCAAGAAAUCGUUCAACCUGUUUUUGAAGACACAGAAGGGUCAAUGAGAGACUGUUAACCCAUUGUGUGCCAGCUAUGGACUCUAGGAAAUGAAAAUUUAAGCAGUACAUACAAGUACAUCUGUUUAUUAUGUGAAUGUCCAGCAGACAAGCGAGGCCGCCACCCAAUGGUCUAAUUUUCUAGGUUACGCAAAUCUAAUCUAUGAGAUCAUCAUAUAACUUACUACCUGCCCUGCGACAACUAUAACAGCACCCUUUCUUGAACCCCAGAUUUGUGUACUGGACCAUGGUGAGAAGAGCUUAAAAGUAUCACUCAGAGGAGACAGAGUUAGCCAUUGACAAAGCCAUGGAUACAGCAAAACUUUGUGGAGGCGAUUUAUGUUUUUAUACAGUAGUGCCUUUCGAGAAUUGUAUUGUCCCCAUUAUAUCACAUUAUGGCUAGUAUAUAUAAUAGCUAGUCUUAGCAAAUAAAUGAGAUUAGGUGCAAACUAUAGAGAAUCGUAGCUCCACCUGGUAGUGUGAGACCACUAAGUGAAGGUUCACAACCCUAGGCGCUGACUGAGUAUUUUAGUGACUUUUGUUUGUAUGGCAUAAGAUAUUCCUUUUUAAUCAGUAUUAAUAAUGUAAGAUAUUUCAGGGGGGGCUUUAUUUGG